RNAcentral lists this ribosomal RNA (460 nucleotides) under uncultured bacterium. RNAcentral's name for it is "partial 16S ribosomal RNA". It matches the Rfam family "Bacterial small subunit ribosomal RNA", at positions 338 to 795 of the family's 1533-position model. The record is from RNAcentral.
CCUACGGGGGGCAGCAGUGAGGAAUAUUGGUCAAUGGCCGGAAGGCUGAACCAGCCAUGCCGCGUGAAGGGCAGGGACCUAUGGGCGUUAAACUUCUUUUGUGCGGGAGCAAUAAUGGUCACGUGUGGCCAGACGAGAGUACCGUACGAAUAAGCAUCGGCUAACUCCGUUCCAGCAGCCGCGGUAAUACGGGGGAUGCAAGCGUUAUCCGGAUUUAUUGGGGUUAAAGGGUGCGUAGGCUGUGAGGUAAGUCAGCGGUGAAAUGCCCCCGCUCAACGGGGUGAAGUGCCAUUGAUACUGCCUUGCUGGAAUGCGGAUGCCGUGGGAGGAAUGUGUGGUGUAGCGGUGAAAUGCAUAGAUAUCACACAGAACACCGAUUGCGAAGGCAUCUCACGAAUCCGCGAUUGACGCUGAUGCACGAAAGCGUGGGUAUCAAACAGGAUUAGAUACCCCAGUAGUC